CAGGCUUGCUGUGUGAUUUGGGACAAGAAGUUGCGCUUCUCUGUACCUCAGGUUCUAGGCCUAUAUAAGAAGGGCUAAUAAAGGUCAAGAAGAUGAUACUGCCAAUGAUACUGCCAAGAAUGAGUGGAUCACUGCGGACUACGUGGCUCUGGGAAGAAGGAUAAAGGAGUUUGAGGCACAGGUGGUGUUCUCGUCCAUCCUCCCCGUGGAAGGAAAAGGCCUGGGUAGGGACCGUCGAAUAGUGGAAGUCAACGAAUGGCUACGCAGGUGGUGUCGGAGAGAGGCUUUGGAUUCUUUGACCAUGGGAUGGUGUUCCAUGAAGGAGGAGUGCUGGGCAGAGACGGGCUCCACCUUACGAAGAGAGGGAAGAGCAUCUUUGCGACCAGGCUGGCUAACCUAGUGAGGAGGGCUUUAAACUAGGUUCACCGGGGGAAGGAGACCAAAGCCCUGAGGGUCAGCUCCCAGACUGCUGUGCUGGGCAUCACAACAUGGGGAAGAGAUGGCCAGCCCUCUGUGGAGAAAGAGGUGGUUAGGAACUAUUUAGAAAAACUGGACGUGCACAAGUCCAUGGGGCCGGACGAGUUGCAUCCGAGAGUGCUAAAGGAACUGGCGGCUGUGAUUGCAGAGCCAUUGGCCAUUAUCUUUGAAAACUUGUGGUGAACGGGGGAAGUCCCGGAUGACUGGAAAAAGGCUAAUGUAGUGCCAAUCUUUAAAAAAGGGAAGAAGGAGGAUCCUGGGAACUACAGGCCAGUAAGCCUCACUUCAGUCCCCGGAAAAAUCAUGGAGCAGGUCCUCAAAGAAUCAAUCCUGAAGCACUUACAUAAGAGGAAAGUGAUCAGGAACAGUCAGCAUGGAUUCACCAAGGGAAGGUCAUGCCUGACUAAUCUAAUCGCCUUCUAUGACGAGAUUACUGGUUCUGUGGAUGAAGGGAAAGCAGUGGAUGUAUUGUUUCUUGACUUUAGCAAAGUUUUUGACACGGUCUCCCACAGUAUUCUUGUCAGCAAGUUAAGGAAGUAUGGGCUGGAUGAAUGCACUAUAAGGUGGGUAGAAAGUUGGCUAGAUUGUCGGGCUCAACGGGUAGUGAUCAAUGGCUCCAUGUCUAGUUGGCAGCCGGUGUCAAGUGGAGUGCCCCAGGCGUCGGUCCUGGGGCCGGUUUUGUUCAAUAUCUUCAUAAAUGAUCUGGAGGAUGGUGUGGAUUGCACUCUCAGCAAAUUUGCGGAUGAUACUAAACUGGGAGGAGUGGUAGAUACGCUGGAGGGCAGGGAUAGGAUACAGAGGGACCUAGACA
Molecule: long non-coding RNA, 1288 nt
Organism: Caretta caretta (loggerhead turtle)
Lineage: Eukaryota; Metazoa; Chordata; Testudines; Cheloniidae
Source: RefSeq, a predicted model, not a curated record